This 576-nucleotide ribosomal RNA is filed under the name uncultured bacterium. RNAcentral's name for it is "bacterial SSU rRNA". It matches the Rfam family "Bacterial small subunit ribosomal RNA", at positions 338 to 916 of the family's 1533-position model. The record is from RNAcentral.
CCUACGGGAGGCAGCAGUGGGGAAUAUUGGACAAUGGGCGGAAGCCUGAUCCAGCAACGCCGCGUGAGGGAUGACGGCCUUCGGGUUGUAAACCUCUUUCAGUAUCGACGAAGCGCCCGCGUGGGUGGUGACGGUAGGUACAGAAGAAGCACCGGCCAACUACGUGCCAGCAGCCGCGGUAAUACGUAGGGUGCGAGCGUUGUCCGGAAUUAUUGGGCGUAAAGGGCUCGUAGGCGGUUUGUCGCGUCGGGAGUGAAAACACUGGGCUUAACCGAGUGCUUGCUUCCGAUACGGGCAGACUUGAGGCAUUGAGGGGAGAACGGAAUUCCUGGUGUAGCGGUGAAAUGCGCAGAUAUCAGGAGGAACACCGGUGGCGAAGGCGGUUCUCUGGCAAUGUUCUGACGCUGAGGAGCGAAAGUGUGGGGAGCGAACAGGAUUAGAUACCCUGGUAGUCCACACCGUAAACGUUGGGCGCUAGGUGUGGGGCCUAUUCCAUGGGUUCCGUGCCGCAGCUAACGCAUUAAGCGCCCGCCUGGGGAGUACGGCCGCAAGGCUAAAACUCAAAUGAAUUGACGG